CCUACGGGUGGCUGCAGUGGGGAAUUUUGGACAAUGGGGGCAACCCUGAUCCAGCCAUGCCGCGUGCGGGAAGAAGGCCUUCGGGUUGUAAACCGCUUUUGUCAGGGAAGAAAUCUUCCGAGCUAAUACCUUGGGAGGAUGACGGUACCUGAAGAAUAAGCACCGGCUAACUACGUGCCAGCAGCCGCGGUAAUACGUAGGGUGCAAGCGUGGCGUGGAAUUACUGCACGUGAAUGGGCAAGAGAGGGUUGAAAUCCCCGGGCUUAACCUGGGAACUGCACUUGUGACUGUACGGCUGGAGUACGGCAGAGGGGGAUGGAAUUCCGCGUGUAGCAGUGAAAUGCGUAGAUAUGCGGAGGAACACCGAUGGCGAAGGCAGUCCCCUGGGCCUGUACUGACGCUCAUGCACGAAAGCGUGGGGAGCAAACAGGAUUAGAUACCCUGGUAGUC
RNAcentral lists this ribosomal RNA (450 nucleotides) under uncultured bacterium. RNAcentral describes it as "partial 16S ribosomal RNA". It matches the Rfam family "Bacterial small subunit ribosomal RNA", at positions 338 to 795 of the family's 1533-position model. The record is from RNAcentral.